UAAAGGUGUCAAUUUCCUGUAGAAAGCAGU
This 30-nucleotide non-coding RNA is filed under the name Mus musculus (house mouse). The record is from RNAcentral. Lineage: Eukaryota; Metazoa; Chordata; Mammalia; Rodentia; Muridae.